CAUCAGCAGACAAGAAGCUACAGUGGAUGGAAACUCUGUAAGAAUUGUGAAGAGGUCUUCAGGGAGCUGUUUUUCCUUAAGACACACAUGAGAGCUCAGAAUGGAGGGAACACUUUUGAGGGUAAUUGUUAUGGAAAAGACACCCUUAGUGUGCACAAAGAAGCCUCUAUUGGACAGGAACUUUCUAAAUUUAAUCCAUGUGGAAAAGUCUUCACCCUAACUCCAGGCCUUGCUGAACAUCUUGAAGUUCUCAAUGCAAGACAACCGUACAAAUGUAAGGAAUGUGGAAAAGGCUUUAAGUGUUUUGCAAGCCUUGAUAAUCACAUGGGAAUUCACGCUGGUGAGAAACUCUGAAUUUCAGGAAUGUGGGAGAACCAUCACACCCUCCUCACACCUAAAGCAGUGUGUAACAGCUCAUACUGGAAAGAAAUUCAAAAAGACUAAGAAAUAUGGGAAAUCCUUCACUAAUUUUUCUCAACUUUCUGCACAUGUGAAAACUCAUAAAGAGGAGAAGUCCUUUGAUUGUAAAGAAUGUGGAAUUUCCGUUAGAAAUUCCUCAUAUCUUAAUGAUCACAUUCAAACUCCAACUGGAGUAAAAACCACACAAAUAUACAGACUGUGGGAAAGCCUUCACUAGAUCAAUUCAACUUACUGAACAUGUAAGAACUCACACUGGGGUAAAACCCUAUGAAUGUAAAGCCUUCACUAGAUCCUCAGGCCUUACUCAACAUACAAUAAUUCAGAUGGGAGAGAAGCCUUAUGAAUGUGUUGAAUGUGGAAAAACCUUCAUUACUUCUUCCCAUCGUACUUAACAUUUGAAAACUCAUAGUGGAGAAAAGCCCUUUGUAUGCAAGAUAUGUGGGAAAGCAUUUAUAUUUUCCUCAUCCCUUAAUAUUCACCUGCAAACUCAUACUGGAGAGAAACCCUUCAUAUGUAAAGAAUAUGGGAAAGCAUUUAUUGUUUCCUCACACCUAGGUAGACAU
Molecule: long non-coding RNA, 983 nt
Filed under: Homo sapiens (human)
Lineage: Eukaryota; Metazoa; Chordata; Mammalia; Primates; Hominidae
Description: non-protein coding lnc-ZNF846-4:1
Source: RNAcentral